Molecule: ribosomal RNA, 301 nt
Filed under: uncultured bacterium
Lineage: Bacteria
Description: partial 16S ribosomal RNA
Rfam family: Bacterial small subunit ribosomal RNA
Source: RNAcentral
CAGUAGCCGCGGGAAUACGGAGGGGGCUAGCGUUGUUCGGAAUUACUGGGCGUAAAGCGCACGUAGGCUGCUUUGUAAGUCAGAGGUGAAAGCCCGGGGCUCAACCCCGGAUGUGCCUUUGAGACUGCAGAGCUAGAACGUCGGAGAGGUGAGUGGAAUUCCGAGUGUAGAGGUGAAAUUCGUAGAUAUUCGGAAGAACACCAGUGGCGAAGGCGGCUCACUGGACGACUGUUGACGCUGAGGUGCGAAAGCGUGGGGAGCAAACAGGAUUAGAUACCCCGGUAGUCCCUGUCUCUUAUAA